Molecule: small nuclear RNA, 145 nt
Filed under: Fukomys damarensis (Damara mole-rat)
Lineage: Eukaryota; Metazoa; Chordata; Mammalia; Rodentia; Bathyergidae
Description: U2 spliceosomal RNA
Rfam family: U2 spliceosomal RNA
About the family: U2 is a small nuclear RNA (snRNA) component of the spliceosome (involved in pre-mRNA splicing).
Source: Rfam by way of RNAcentral
AUCGCUUCUCGGCCUUUUGGCUAAGAUCAAGUGUAGAUGAUACCUAAAUUGUGAAUGCCCUAAAUAUUUAUGGAGAGAUCUUUUCAGCUUAUCAAGAUUUUUCUACUGAUACCUUUAGUUUUUAUUUAAAAAUGAAAGAGCUAUA